RNAcentral lists this ribosomal RNA (308 nucleotides) under uncultured eukaryote. RNAcentral's name for it is "partial 18S ribosomal RNA". It matches the Rfam family "Eukaryotic small subunit ribosomal RNA", at positions 1470 to 1796 of the family's 1831-position model. The record is from RNAcentral.
CCCUUAGAUGUUCUGGGCCGCACGCGCGCUACAAUGGCACACUCAGCGAGUCUCCUUUACCGACAGGUAUAGGAAAUCUUUUCAGUGUUUGCCGUGAUGGGGCUAGACCCUUGUAAUUAUUGGUCUCCAACGAGGAAUUCCUAGUAAACGCAGGUCAUUAACCUGCAUUGAUUACGUCCCUGCCCUUUGUACACACCGCCCGUCGCACCUACCGAUUGAAUGGUCCGGUGAAGUCUCCGGACUGAGUACUUUUAGUACUUGGGAAGUUGACUAAACCUUACUAUUUAGAGGAAGGUGAAGUCGUAACA